UGUGCUUGUGCACGUAUAAGUAUGAUUCCAGGUGUGCAUGUGUGUGUAUGUAAGCGUGUGCAUGUAUAAGUAUGAUUCCAGGUGUGCAUGUGUGUGUGUAUGUAAGCGCGUGUGUGUCUUUGUGCGUGUGCAUGUAUAAGUAUGAUUCCAGGUGUGCAUGUGUGUGUAUGUAAGCGUGUGUGUGUAUAAGUAUGAUUCCAGGUGUGCAUGUGUGUGUAUGUAAGCGUGUGUGUGUAUAAGUAUGAUUCCAGGUGUGCAUGUGUGUGUAUGUAAGCGCGUGUGUGUCUUUGUGCGUGUGCAUGUAUAAGUAUGAUUCCAGGUGUGCAUGUGUGUGUAUGGUUCCAGGUGUGCAUGUGUGUGUAUGUAAGCGUGUGCAUGUAUAAGUAUGAUUCCAGGUGUGCAUGUGUGUGUAUGUAAGCGUGUGCAUGUAUAAGUAUGAUUUCAGGUGUGCAUGUGUGUCUUUGUGCGUGUGCACGUAUAAGUAUGAUUCCAGGUGUGCAUGUAUAAGUAUGAUUUCAGGUGUGCAUGUGUGUGUAUGUAAGCACGUGUGUGUAUGUGCGUGUCCAGGUGUGCAGGUGUGCAUAUGUCUAUAUUUGGAGAGGAUGAUAUCAACUGCAUUUUUCUUAAAGUAUCUACAGCGAAGUGCAUUUGUUCUGAGAAUAUGGGUUUUGUGUUAUCUUCUAUAUGGGAAUGCCAACAUACAAUAUCAAUUGGAACUCAG
Molecule: long non-coding RNA, 721 nt
Filed under: Octopus vulgaris (common octopus)
Lineage: Eukaryota; Metazoa; Mollusca; Cephalopoda; Octopoda; Octopodidae
Source: RNAcentral